Molecule: long non-coding RNA, 1126 nt
Filed under: Nicotiana tabacum (common tobacco)
Lineage: Eukaryota; Viridiplantae; Streptophyta; Magnoliopsida; Solanales; Solanaceae
Description: long non-coding RNA (NTAB_LNC006147)
Source: RNAcentral
AACCCUUAUUUUUCUAAUUAUCUUUUCCUUUCCCACACUCUCUCUUCUCUCUCAUAGCUCACGUCCCUCCUCUCUUCCAGCGGUGUCUUUAGUGGUUGUGACCGCCGCCGCCGCCGCCGACGACUCAGGUGUGUCUCUCUGUGUCAAUUUAUACUCUUUUACCAUUAUACAACCUACUAUUUUCGUUUUCUAGAAAGUAAUGCUCCAAACUACACAUUGACCGCGUUGUAAUUUUCCCUCUUUAAUGAAAUUAAUUAGUACUUAUUAGUUUUUAUCUUUUCCACAAGAAUAACUUAGUAGUCUUUGUGUAUGGUGUUGGUAUUUAUCUUAAUUCUUGUAAUUUAGUCAAUUUAAUAGUCUUCUGUGAACUUUGCGGCUGGCUAUGGGCUGUGUGUUUAGUAUUUCUCUAAAACUUUUAUGUACUUUGCGGCUGGCUAUUAUCAAAGUUGUGUAUAAUAAACUCGUAAAGACUUGAAUAAACUAGAUGCAUGACUUAUAGUUGUAAUCACAAUCAUUAACCCACAUCACUCUGUAGGUUGAACUGAAAUCCACUCUUGACAAAGAUAAGUUUCUGAACCAAUGACACACAAAUCGUUCCAGCAUAGUUGUCCAUGUGAAGGCUAAACUUGUGUAGAUACAGGUUGCCCAUAUUAUUUGAUACCCAAACCUGAAGAUGUUGGCAUUGUACCUAUAAUGAAUAUCUCCCUCAUGUAUAAUAGAUGCAUGAUGUACCUGGUGUUUCCUCCAAUUAAAGCACAGUUGACCCGCAAAGUGAUGCAAACACCCAUGGUUCAACAAAACCAUUCUGGAAAGUAGUGUGGUGUUGCGUAUGUCUUUUUUAUUUUUGUGUUAUCAUGUACCUUUACUAUAGUAGUUUGUAAUAUGUUCAGGGUGUAGCAGAGUAUCAAGAAAAAGGUCCCUAAUUGUACAAUUCUUAUGUCAGGCAUGGCUAUCGAUGUUAUGGUAUGAUAGCUACUAUUUUGGUUAUGUAAACCAGUAGAUAUUUCAAAUGUGUUUAAAUGCUACUUUAUGUAGUGAUAUUAGAUUAAUACUCCAUCUAUUCCCAUAUUUUAUUUUCUGAAUUUAUUUUAUAUUGGUAUUCAUCCAAAUAAAGGAACUCCAAAAG